Molecule: ribosomal RNA, 94 nt
Filed under: Halomonas cerina
Lineage: Bacteria; Pseudomonadati; Pseudomonadota; Gammaproteobacteria; Oceanospirillales; Halomonadaceae
Source: RNAcentral
AACCACCUGAUCCCAUGCCGCACUCAGCAGUGAAACCGCUCAGCGCCGAUGGUAGUGUGGGGCUUCCCCAUGCGAGAGUAGGUCAUCGUCAGGC